AAACAGGCGAGCCAGCUCCUCCCCCUUACGGCCUUUGCGUGCCGCUCUCGGGUAGUGAGAGCGAGCGGUGGCGGCUGCGCAGUGGGGGCACAUCCGGGCACUGGGGCAGGAUGAAUGCUCCUUUCCAAGAUGGCGGCGGAGGGAGGAGGGAAGGAGAUGAACGAGAUUAAGACCCAGUUCACCACCCGGGAGGGGCUGUACAAGCUGCUGAGCCACUCGGAGUACAGCCGGCCCAACCGGGUGCCCUUCAACUCGCAGGGCUCCAACCCAGUCCGCGUCUCAUUCGUCAACGUCAACGACCAGAGCGGCAACGGCGACCGGCUCUGCUUCAAUGUGGGCCGGGAGCUCUACUUCUACAUCUACAAGGGGGUCCGCAAGGCUGCUGACUUGAGUAAACCAAUAGACAAAAGGAUAUACAAAGGAACGCAACCUACAUGUCAUGACUUCAAUCACUUAACAGCCACAGCAGAAAGUGUCUCUCUACUAGUGGGCUUCUCUGCAGGCCAGGUGCAACUUAUAGACCCUAUUAAAAAAGAAACUAGCAAAUUAUUUAAUGAGGAAAGACUAAUAGACAAGUCCAGAGUAACCUGUGUAAAAUGGGUACCAGGGUCGGAAAGCCUUUUCCUAGUAGCUCAUUCCAGUGGAAAUAUGUACUUAUAUAAUGUGGAGCACACUUGUGGUACCACAGCCCCACACUACCAACUACUUAAGCAAGGAGAAAGUUUUGCAGUCCACACUUGCAAGAGUAAAUCCACAAGAAAUCCUCUACUUAAAUGGACCGUAGGCGAGGGUGCCCUGAAUGAGUUUGCUUUUUCCCCUGAUGGGAAAUUUUUGGCAUGUGUGAGCCAAGAUGGAUUUCUUCGUGUGUUUAACUUUGAUUCAGUGGAGUUGCAUGGUACAAUGAAAAGCUACUUUGGGGGACUACUAUGUGUGUGUUGGAGCCCAGAUGGGAAAUACAUUGUAAUAGGUGGAGAGGAUGACUUGGUAACGGUUUGGUCUUUUGUGGACUGUCGAGUAAUAGCUAGAGGCCAUGGACAUAAAUCAUGGGUUAGUGUUGUGGCAUUUGAUCCAUAUACCACUAGUGUAGAAGAGAGUGACCCAAUGGAAUUUAGUGGCAGUGAUGAGGAUUUCCAAGACCUUCAUUUUGGUAGAGAUCGAGCAAAUAGUACACAAUCUAGGUUAUCAAAAAGGAACUCUACAGACAGUCGUCCAGUAAGUGUUACAUAUAGGUUUGGUUCUGUAGGCCAAGACACUCAACUCUGUUUGUGGGACCUUACAGAAGAUAUUCUCUUCCCUCACCAACCUCUGUCAAGAGCAAGGACACACACAAAUGUUAUGAAUGCCACAAGUCCACCUGCAGGAAGUGGUGGAACUAAUCCAGGAAGUAAUGGAAACAGUAUCACAACACCUGGAAACUCAGUACCCCCUCCUCUUCCACGGUCAAACAGCCUUCCACAUUCUGCAGUCUCAAAUGCUGGCAGUAAAAGUAGUGUUAUGGAUGGUGCCAUUGCUGCUGGUGUUAGUAAGUUUGCAACCUUAUCGCUACAUGAUCGGAAAGAAAGACACCAUGAAAAAGAUCACAAGAGAAAUCAUAGCAUGGGACAUAUAUCUAGCAAGAGCAGUGACAAACUGAACCUAGUUACUAAAACCAAAACGGACCCAGCUAAAACUUUGGGAACACCUCUCUGUCCCAGAAUGGAAGAUGUUCCCUUGUUAGAGCCUCUUAUCUGUAAAAAGAUAGCACAUGAAAGACUGACUGUGUUAAUUUUUCUUGAAGACUGUAUAGUCACUGCUUGUCAGGAGGGAUUUAUUUGCACAUGGGCAAGGCCUGGUAAAGUGUAGGGGUUCCUGGAUACUUGGAUCCAAGCAAGAAAGAGCUCCUAUAGACUCUGAAGAUGUCACUAAUUCUACAUUCCUAUUGUUAAUUGCUUCUGAUCUUGUCUAGCUUGAUGGAUCUGAGUCACAGGAACAUAAUUUAGAGGUAAGAAACAAUGACUAAAAGUGUGAUUUUUAGCUAUAUAGCAAGGGAAAGUGAAGUCGUGUUAAUCAGGGUACUUCAGGCUUAGCAGCUAUUUAGUUCUUCAGGCUGUUAGCACUCUCUAAGAACUAAAUGACAAGAAAACAAACCUGCCUUUUGGUGCAGAUGUUUGGUUUUUAAUCUGAAGGCUGGUGUGCGAAUUGAAAUUCAACCAUUACAGUUCUUUUCAACCAAUGACGUAGAGGAAAGCUUGAUCAACUGGCAGCCAAAGUACAUAAGUGAAAAGCAGAAAACACCUCUUUAUUAAACUAUCCAAACCAGUUGUCAACAAGAACCAUAUGUAGCUAAGAAUGCUGCAUAAUUCUUAAGCUACAAAUCUGAACUAUAAGCAAGCCACUAUUGAUCUGUAGUGCAUUUCAAUAAGGUGGUAAAUUUAUGACAAAAUUAACUUAAAUAGACUUACCUAAGUCCAAAUUUAAAUGGUAAUGCAAAACUUAAUGUGAACUCUGAGUCUCCCCGACACACUCAUCGUCUUUUCCAGGCUUCUUAUUCCCAAGUAACAUAUAGGAAUAUUUGUUAAAAUAUUUCUUAAACUGUUUACUAUUUUUCAUUGGCAGAUGAGAACUUUGGAUUCUCACCAGUAGUGUUAACAUUAAUGGAGGUUAACUGUCUAAUUUCCCUUUUUUUUUUCUUGAUGGCAGAAUAGACCCAUUGUCUGUCUGUGAAGUGCCCAUUUGCUGCAUAUUUAAUCAUUAGUUCAAAGGAUACUUACUAUUUGUGUAGCGUGGUAUAAAAAGAAGUGUCCAGAAGUUGCCAGCGGCUUGAGAAAAAUGCAAGGCAAACUAAGAUCAAACAUUUGCAACAAUUCGUGUCCUAAACAGAUCUAUUAAUCUGUGCCAAAAACAUUGUUUUGAACAUUAUUAAGCAGGGCAAAUGAAAUGUUUCCUAGAGAAAUCUGGCACAUGAUUUUUGAGGAAUGAAGGCAAUAUGUUAGUAGUGAGUGCCUGUACACACAAACCUUUGUGCUGAUAAAAAUUAAUCUGCAGCAGAUAAAUUUAAGUUAAUGUCAGGCUCUCUUGCUGGAUUAAUGUAAACUGCUUUGUUUGCAGGGUUUAUUGUCAUCCCAAAACCAGGCCAAUUCUCCAAGUGGAACUGUAGUAUAGCCAUCACACUACUGCUAGCGAAUCUUUGAACACAGGACAAGAAGUAAUGACAGUGGAACCAGGAGCUGUUCUUCAUGCAGAGAGCAUCAGAAAUUAUAAAAUGGCAGAGUGUAAACUUGGAAUUAUGUGAAUCACAUAAUACUUUGCAAAAGAAUAAUGUAAUGAAUUCUUAGUCUGGCUAAUACUUCUAGGCUGCUCACCCAAAGAAGAAUUUUCCUUUUAAAAAAGAAAUGCUUCAUUUGGUGUUGCAGUAAAUUUUUUUCUCAGUUUUCUUUAUACUUUUCAAGUUCGGUGUAAUUUAAUUGAUAUAUAUAUAUGGGGGGGGGGGAGAGAGAGAUAUAUGUGUAAAAUAAAGUAUGUUUCUUAAAUCCAAGUAAGUUCAAUGGUUAUAUAAAUUAGUACUUCACCAUUGUUUGUUUUUUUUUGCACUGAUUUUUUUCAACCAGAGAUGGUUAGAAGACAGCCUGGAAUGCACUCAUGGAAAACGAAAGUCAUUACUUUCUGGCUUAAAAAUGUAAUUCAGGAAGAUGGAUGCUGCAAUCGUAGAUUUUUUUUUUUUUUUUUUUUUUAAACAGAAUUGUUUGCACUUAAAUAGUUUAAUGCUAGUGGAGAAUUACUUUAAAAUGGGUAGUCAGACACCCAGAAAAGCUAUGUUGUGGAGAAAAAGAUAUCCUUUAUAUCUAUGAAACAUUUAUUUUAAUAUCGUUUCCAAUUGCAAUCAGCUCUGUAUUAUAUGUAUAAAUGUAAUUCAGUGAUUGGGAGGAAAAUGGAUCAGUACACUAGUAAUUUUAAUCUAAAAUAUUUCUAAUUCUGAAAAUACAUAUUAAACUAUCUUGAAUAUGCAGUUUUGUUUACGUUCUGUUUUAAAUUGGAUCGAUUUUGAUGUAAUCAAUCUUUUGAAUUAAAUGUUGGGUACAGAAACACACUCUAACGCUUGUAGAACAUAUUCCUUUCUUAAAACCUUUCGCAUCAGGAACACUUCCAUAUUUAAUGUUGCUUAAUUGGCUUAGGGAAAAGAAAUUAUAAAUUUUCCCCUGCACUACUUCCUAUUAAAACUUACCUCUGAAUACAUUUUCCAGACAUUAAACCCCAAUAUUUAUGAAAAUAGGAGCCUCAGAUUUUUGCAGUAGAGUGAUCUCUUCUGAUGCCUUUUAAUAGUUGCAUUUUAGUGGUUUAAUACUGUAUGUCUAAAAAUUAGAGGUUAAAACCUCAAUUGUUGAAUUGCAUUGACUUUCAAGCUGAUUUUUAUGUAGACAACUAUGACAGUGUACUACGUGUGCACACUUUGAUUUUUACAAUCUAAAAUUAGGUACUAAAAUAGUGGAGUAGUAUGUGUUUUGGGACAACUUGCUGUGCUAAAAAUAUCAGGUGCCCUUGCUAUCUUUAACAUUUGAGGUAAAACAGUUAUGGAGGUAGAUAUAUCCAAGUAUUUUCAUAAUCCAAUGCUACUUGAUAGUGGUUGAUACUAAAUUGGUUUUUAUUAGCAAAACAAAGGCCAUUUCAUCCCUUCCAGUAUUUUCUGCAAGGGGAUGACAGGAAUGAAGAAUGUGCUACUCUGGAUCAAAAUCCAGUAGAAAGGGUGACUGAGAUAAUAUGGUGGCAUUUUCUUACUUCCUCUGCCUGGCUUAAGCCCCUUCAGACUCUCUAUUGUUGGGCUUUUUCUGAACUUUGCAGAUGUGCAGCUAGGAGGGGAUAUAAGCAACAGCUUUCUCAGCUCUGCUCUGGCAUUCAUAUCCUUCAAAAUGGAAGGUCUUUCCAAAAGUCAAUUUAAUGCUGAUACUGAUGGCAUGAUCUGGGCCUAAAUUACCAACAAACUUUAUCCCAGGUUCCAACAAAUUUUUGUAUAAAAUUUAUAGUUGAAUAGAAUUUUCUUUAAUUGCAAGAUACUAAUACUCUGUCAUUUUAGAAUAAACUAUACAUAGAAUCAUAGCGUUAGAAGGGACUAUGAGGCUCAUCUAGCCUAACCUGCCAGGAAGGUGGGUUUGUUGUGUCUAAACCAUGCAAGACAGAUGGCUAUCCAGCCUUCUUUUGAAAGCCUCUGUGAAGGAGCUUCCGCAACCUCUGUAGGCAAUCUGUUCAUUGUCCUAUUGUUAGGACGUUUUUCCUGAAAUUUAGUCUACAUCUGUUUGUAACACUGGAGAAACUCAAACUGUAGCAAGCCUCACAUGGUUCUACAUAUCAUCAGUUUAAUAAAAAUUAAAGCCUCACUCCUGUUCCCACUGAAGAUAAACUUUGCUGUUCACUUCAAUGGAAGAAUAAUCAGGCCUGUGAUUUAUGCAGUUCAGGUUUAUUUAAUCCUUGGAUAUAAACAAACUGGGUUGAAACUGUCAAUUUAACAAUCAUUAACAUUCUAAUUUUACCUUCCUUAUUUAAAUGUUUCCAAAUUUGAUUCAGGUAAAUAUGGAAAUAGUGAGACACUUGGUUGCAAUAUAUUUUAAAUUCUUAAACUGAUUUUUAAACAUACAGUGGAGACAGACCGAGUAUCCUAUUACCAAAUGCUCUGAGCCAGUCACCUUCUGGGUUGCAUGCAGAUCACUAACCAAAUUAGAAAAGACAAAGUUGUUACCGUCUGACAGCUGUUCACUGCUCUAUGUAAAAUGUGCUGGUCUGUGGAUAGCUGUCUUUAUCAUGACUAACAUUGAUUGGCACCCUUGGCAUAGAAACAAAGCACUGAAUGGAAACCAACUUUCUGCCCAUCUUCUGUAAUAAAGGUCAAAAAAUACUUUGUUUAGAAGAAACUCCUCUUUCCCCAAGUUUAGAAACUUUCAUGGCUGCCACCCAAGUCAUAAAUUCUUUUGCUAAACAGACUUCAUUUCUCAGUUCUGUUAUUCCAGCACCCUUCACAAGUCUUGUAGGUAAGAAGUAGACUUGAAAAUAUGAUCCUUUCCCUAAACAUUUUUGUGACCGUGUUCGCAGAACACAACAAUCACUUAAAAUAAGGGUGUCCAUCUGUCCUGUUUUCAAGCUGUAAGACUCAUACUUGAACAAAAUUUUGAUCAUCAUUUUGCCGCAAAGUAACUGGAAUAAACAGUUUAAAUACUACCUUUUUGGGUCAAGCAAUUGUAAAAACAGAUGUCCAACAGAACUAUUUAAAUCUAAUUAAAAAAAUCCUAUGGGGAGUAUGAAAAUGUAUUGGUUUUCCAUCCAAACAUUGCAGCACUGGGCUACUUGCCUAAGAAUCUGAAAGUGAAAUUGACUAGAAAUCAUAAAAGUGGAUAGACUAGGUAGGUUUAAACUGACAUUCAAAAAAGUAAACAGCAUAAAUACAGUCACUAUUUAAUUUGUCCUAUAUCCCUAUUCCAAGUGCUCUGGUAUUCAGAAUAUUAUUCUACAUUUGCAUGCAGAGACUACUAGUCUUAAACCUGAAAUAUUGAAUAUAGUUUGAAUGAUGAAUUCUUCAGUGAAAGUGCAGUCACUUGAAAAGAUCUACCUAUUUAAGACCUUAUUCAGCAAAACACUUAUGAGCAUACUUAACUUGAAGAGACUGGAGCAUGGGUAAUCAACAAAGCACUCAUCACUCUCUUACCAUAGAAGGAACCCAGUCCUGCAUGCCUCAUUCAGAAUGAUCCCAGGAAAUAUGCCCUUUUGGACGAGCUUAAAAUACAAAAAAAAAAAAAAAGAGACACCUGCCUUUUAACAACCACCCCCAAAGUUUUGCCAGACCAGCAAUAUUUGAAUUCUGUACAUAGACUGGCAAUUCUAAAGUCAGAUCAUGUAUCUUCUGGGUGUAUAUGUUCAUUCUCUAGUGUGGAUAACUGGUAUGCAAUACAGCAAAGCAAGGCCUAAAAUUGCACAAUAAAAACGGUGACUAUUCUAAUUGUUUGGAAGAUUUUGUAUUUUGCAUAAGUCAGGUGAUUGAAAUAUUUUAAAAAUGUUUAUAUAGUGUACUGAUCAGAACAAGACAUUCCUAAAAUUUUAGGAAACACAAAAUCCUGAAAUUUUUAAGCAGAGAAAAUACAGGCAUCGUUCCAUAUUGAACACGAGUCAUUUUUUUGCACUAAAGCAAACAAUGCUGGGUGAGAGGAAAAUUAUUAUUAUGGCCUGGCAAGGUUACUCUAUAAAAUGUCAUUGUAGGGUUCCAUGUUUCUCAGUUAAUUCCCAAUUUGCUUAUUUUACAAAUGAAGAUUUUUCUAACUCCUAGCCUGACAAACUCAAGCUGGGUUUCCCUAAAUGUUAGCACCCUUCAUAAAGUUUCUGCAGGCCCAAGUAUGCCCUCAUUAACUUUAUGCAAUCCCCAGUGCUUUCAGGGUUUACAGUGACAUAAUGGAUUUUAAUUGGAAUUUAGUAAAUAGUUCUGUUGAUGCUCUAGAAAUAGAAUCCAGCUCCCAUUGUUGGCUCUAUUGGUUCUGGGGGGGGUCUAAAAAGAGGUAAAAGCAUAUUGUAGUAUAUGACAAUACACAAAAUCAAAAAGGUGCAUUUUUUACAUAUAUUCAAAUCUGAAGAGACUACACUUAAAUUUUCACACUUGGAAAUAUGUCACUUAUGAUAACUGGUAUUAAUGCUAAAGCUAGUGAUUGCCAUUCUGCCAUAUUGACAAAUUGAUGAAAAUGAGAAUUUUGUAUCUGAACAAAAUUAACAAGGUUAGACUUUUAUAUAGGUGGGUCCUUUUUAAAAAAGGAGCUGCAUAUUAAAUUGUCAGAAGUAAAACUAACAGCUUGCACAACUCUCUGUAUGUUAAUACAAAAUUCCAGGUGGACCAAUGAAGGCAACUACCAUGCACCUGAAAUUAAAUAAAACUGUUUAAAGAUUAACUAACAAAGCAAUGUAGUAUGAGUUUUAUUAGUGCUGUAGAUAACUCAGGUAGCUAAUUGGUUGGCUUCCUCAGUUGAAACUUCUGAUGUUUGUAAAGCACUGUAUCUAUUUCAUAACCAGCCCUUUGGGAUGUGUGUUAUUUAAGCAGCUAUUUUUCAGCAGGCCUUUUUGUUCUGGUGGUUCAUCAGGUAGGAGUUGUAUAUUUCAUUUGCUCUGUCCAAUAGAGUUAAGGAUCACAUUGGAAUAUCCUCUUCACUUACAUGCCCACUUAACACCGAAAUAAUGGUGUCACAGGCGAUGAUGUUUUUCAUUGUUAAACAACUACUAGUAAGCUGACAGUACAAGUUUGAAAUACUUUCUAAAAUCUGAUGUAAUAAAAUUAAGUUUUCAAGGUGACAUACUUUAGAGAGUGAUUUUCUUAAGUUAGUUGUCUUGGAAGUCGUCCACCUCUAGUUUGGCUUUUUCAGAUAGUUUCCUUGAAUAAUGUUUAGGGCAGUGGUUUUUCAUCCUAUAGUCUGUGGACCCCUGGGGGUCUACAGACUAUGUUUAAGAAUCCCAAAGGGAUCUGCACUUCCAGUUGAAAUUUUUUAGGAGUCCACAAAUGAAAAAAGGUUGAAAACCACUGCUGUAGGGUGUCCUAACAAGUUAGUCUGUUUCAAAAUGCACAACUUAAGUAACAAAACCCUACUAUGAGAUAGUCAUGAAAGCAGUUUGGUUUUUGGCAUACUUCUCAUUUGUAAUAAUGCUUAGCUGUGAGGUAUAACAGUAAAACCUCAUACAGAUAAUUUUCUGUAAAAUUCCAUGUUUUCUUUUGGAAUUGGAGUGUUACAUGAAAGUAGGUGGUUUACUUGAAUUAUUUAGGAUCAACCUGAGGAAAAAACAGUGCUUAGGAAAGCUCUAGGAAACAAUCAGAUUAAAUUAACUUUACCGCUGACACUAGUAGAUUGCUGCUGCUGUGAACUCUAAAGUACAGUAUGAGCUUGAAAGAGUAGAACAGAUGUAAGACUUUUAGAACCUGGAGAGAGUGUGCUGUUCAUGUCAAAUGGUAAUCAACUUCAUUUUUCAAUUUGAUCUUCUAAUAAGCAGCCUGUAGUGAAAUUUUGCAGCAGAUCAAAUGUUCUGGGGAUUUGUAUCCAUCACUCUACAGAACAACACUGUCCACUGUAUUCAUCAGACAGAUAAGCUCACCAACUUUUAGAAUAUUAAUGCUCCUGUAGGGUUGGCCUGUUGCUACUUUAGUUUUUAGAUAUGCUUCAUUUCCUUGCUUCAAACAUACCUAAAGCCUUGUAUCUUUAAUGGAGACCACAAGUACCUCUACCACUUCUGCAUUCUUUCAAUCUGACUUGAAUGCCUGACAGGAAGGUCACCCAGCUCCUAUAGUGUAGUAUCUUGCAAUACAAAAAUCAUUUUGUGCUUUUUUUGCUCCUGCUUCCUCACAACAUUGAAGAUUUGCCAGAAGGCUAGUUUUCCAAAAAAAGGAGCUGAGAAAUACAAAUGUAACCGCUUCCAUCCCCCAAAAGCCAUCUUCUGGACCUCUGUCCCAAAUUUCUAGAGAUAAGGAAUAGUAGGUUACUGUUGCACCACAGAUAUGGGUCUCUAUCUUCCAUUUCCUCAACACCAAUGUUGUACCCAUGUAAAUACAUAGCACAAGUACUCAUCCAUAUAGCAUUCAUCUAUUCUUGUUCAAACUCCCUAAAUUACUGGUAUUUUCUACUUACACAUCACUAUCAUCCCAAAUCACUUCAAACCCUUUCUUCUUUUCCCAGUUUUCCAGUUCAUUAGGUUUUCAUGUUUGUGAAAGAUGAAUGAUACCCCAGGAGCUGAAAGUCCACUAUCCAAGCCCGUGGUAUAUGGUGGUUGGCAGCACUGCAAGCAACCUCACAGAUUCCCACUACUGGGCCUUGGACCUAUGCUACAGGAAAUUUCUGCAGGGCUGCGAAAGUAUUUACUCCAGGCUCUGACCUUUAAGACAGACACACCUGUUGAAUAAGAACUGGAGUAAGAAACACAUCUUACAGGCCAGCAAACAGCCAUGAAAUAAUGAUGUGGGUAGUGAUCAGGUCAGAUUUAAACUGGGGGCCAAACAGUGGGACUCCAUGUUCUAUGACCAGUACCCUCAGCCAUACACCCUGCCAUGCAAUGAAUUUGAGAGAACUUACCUGUGUCAGAACAUUAGACUUUGAAAACUGGCUUUCCAUGAUGAUAUCUAGCUCUUACAUAUCAUUUUCACCAGUAGAUCUCAAAGAGCUUUACAAAGGAGGUAUGUACUGUAUCCCCACUUUAGAGAUAGGGAAACUGAUGCAUAAUAGGGUAAAGUGAGUUGUUCAAGAUCACCUACUAGACCAGCAGUACAGCUGGGAACAGAACCCAGCUCUCCUGAGUCCUAGUGUAGUACUCUAUGUACUAGGCCACACAAUCUUAGAAGACAUAGCAGUGAUUCAUUUAAAAAAAUAAAAACAUACUAACUUCUAUUCUCUCAUCUACAUGGUUAGUAGAGAAUGACAUGCUGAGAUUUUAAUGAAAAAUAAAAUUAAUCUCAGCAUCUUAUUUACAAAGCAAGACUUGUUGAUUUUAUAACAGCCUAACUUUCAAAUACCAAACAACUUGUGAAAAAAAUUCUGGAGGUUAGGGUAAACUCCAGCACUAUUUUGCUGUAUGUAGGCUGACUUGCUUAGGCCAGGUCUACCCUACAAACUUACAUCAGUAUAACUAUGUUGCUCAGGGAUGUGAAAAAUCCACACUCGAGUGACGUAGUUCUACUGAGCUAACUGCUGGCGUAGACAGUGCUAUGUUGAUGGGAGAGCUUCUCCUGUUGACAUAGCUACCGCCUCUUGCAGAGGUGGAUUAACUAUGCUGAUAGGAGAAGCUCUCCUGUCAGCAUAGUAGCAUCUUCAUUAAAGUGCUACCACGACAUAGCUGCACGGGUGCAGCUGCAGCGCUGUACAUGCAGACAAGCCCUGAGUCUGACUGGAUUUAAUUUAUCUUCACAUUUAAUGUCCUUUUAUGAAAAAGCUGGGUUUAGUUUGGCUUAUGUUUUUUUCUAAUAAAAAAGUGACCAGCCAUCUAGCACUAACAAUGCCAUUCUACUUCCUAUAAGCAAUAAGGUAAUGAAGAUUUAGGGUGACUAGCACACUCCUUACCACCAAACACCACUUACCUAGGAAUUAGUUACCUACACAUAUAACAAUGUAUACAUUAACAAAUGAAGCCUGUAAGGUCCAUGCAUUUCCUGGGCAUUAAAACUGCAUCGUCACUGUGAGGCCUACAGGCAACACCUAGAUGAGAAGCCUGCUGCCCCUGACACAUGAGCUGUUGGGAUUUCUACUGGGGUGCUGUUCCUGGAUCUUGACUAAUGGCUCCAUUGUUUGUAUUGAACUUUGGCUAGUUGAUGUCUGAUAAAACAUGGAGAAAAGAGGUCUUCACUAGUCUACAUCUCUCCAGGGACUACUCUACACCACAAAGGCUAUAGCGUAUGGUGUAGCUAUACUUGCAAAGCCCCCUACUGGAGAUUCAGUGCCUACUCAGCAAAAGGGAUUCUUUUGGCAGUAUAGUUAAACCGCCUGCCCCAAACAACAUGAGGAGUCCUUUUGCCAGUAUAGUUUUGUCAGUAUAAGAUGUGUCUACGGGGGAAGGGGAGGGAGAGGAAAGGGGGUGGCUUAACUAUAUUGAUUGGGGGUGGGAUUCUCCCCACCACCCACUCUCCUACCUGACAUAACUAUGCUGGGAAAACUUUCUAGUGUAGACUGAGUCUGGGGUGUUCUCCCAUCAACUCCAAUGAAUGCCUCAGCAGCACCAACAUGAAGUGACUUCAGUUUAACUGCUGUCCACUAAGUUCUGACUAGCAGCUGUAAAACUGAGUGGGCUCUUAAUGAUUUCACUCUGCUGCAGCCUAGAGAAGCUCUGAAGAGCAGCAGAGGCACUGGAGCUGUUUUUCCAACAGGAAGAGAUGUCCAUUAACUUUCCAGAUGUGAACAGAGUAACUUUUACAACCAUAAAGGAUAGAAUCUUUUUUAAAUGCACAGCUCAUUGUACAGAAAUUAUCUUAAGUACCCCCAUAUAUAUAUCAGGAAAAGCUUCCCACUUAGGAAUAUCCAGAACUUGAAAAAUCCAGUCCCAACAUAGCUAUAUCAUCUUCCAUAGUUGAACUCCAUUUGGUUCUAAAAUUGUAAAGCUACUUUGUAACAGAGCUAAUGCUAAACUGACAAUUUCCCUUCUUACUAGGAUAUUAUGAAAGUUUUAAAAGUCAAACACACUGAACUCUUAGUCAUUACCUUAAAUGGUAUCUCUGCUACAAUGACCAAAAUGUUAUUUCUGAAUUUUGUUGGCUUCUACAGCACAAAAAGCUGAGAACCUUAUUAAAUGAGUGCCUAUAAUUUGUGAAAUGUGAAAAAAUGGUCUAAAUCCAUAUGCUGUUUCUUUACCGCUAUUUCAACCAACUAAAUCGCGAAACCACCAGACCCAGUAAAGCUUUUGAUUAAUACAAAAGCACAGUUUAAGAAAGAAAAGGACACAAAUGAUAAAGAUAGAUUUGCUUAUGAAUCAGAUAUGUAACUGUACAGCUAUCCUUUGCAUAUACAAAUGUCAAAAGAAAUUAAAACUGUUUAAUUUUACUAAAAUCAGGUGUUUCUCAAAUUAUAUCAUAAUCCAUAAAAUAUUAACAGACUUGAGCUUUGAAAUUAUCAACCUAAUACAGGAGGUAAUUUUCCAACAUUGUCUACGCAACUAACAUUUUCAUCUGUUAAAAAGGUACAAAAUGAACAGAUCAAGUUUAACAAGUUUUAAAUAUCAUCAUAAACUAUUUUGCAUAUAAUAUAAAACUUAAGUACAAAAUGGCAUUCCUAGCACUCAAACUAAAACAUCCUAAAUUAUCCAUUUUUGUUUAAAAAAAAUGUUAAAAAGCUAAUUUGUUUAAAAGGGUUCAAGUAUAAAGUGCAUUUUGAGCUGCCAAAAUGGUGCUUAGAUAAAUAUUGAUAUUGUUCAGAAAUAAAGUGCUAAUAGUCUUGUAGUGUUUUCCUGCAGCAUUUCAGGGAAACAAAAGAUAAGGCACUAUUGCUUUUGGUGUACCUUUGACAAUAAUAUAGAAAGCAUGGUUGAAUCUGUUUCACUGCAUACUCAUGCUUUUCCUUACAUUCCAAAUAUUUGACAAGAUGGUCAAUAUCCUCCACCUCUUCUUUCUAUUGUGGGUAAGUGGUAUUGUUUCACAGAAGACUUAAGUUCCUUUUGUUUUUCAGACUGUUGAAAAAAUGAUAGAAGUUUGAAAUAUAGUCUGUAAUACAUUUAUAUUUAUCUUCUGUGUAUAACUGAAUAAGCAAGUUAAAGUUUGCUACCUUUUGAUUUGUCCCAAUAUAUUUAAUAGGUUGUAACACAGGGACUUCACCAUUUGUUGCAGGUGUGGUAAAAACUGAAUGAAAUGUACGAUUAGGAUAAGAAGUCAACUUGGUUACUCCAGAAACAUUCAGUUUUGGCAAUUCUAUCGCAUAGGAAGGUUCAUGAUGUCUUAUUGAAUUCUCCUGGGUUUUCCUAAGAGAGUGCUUUUAAAAUAAAGUUACAAGUUUCAAUCUGCUGACAGUGACAUUUUUCUUAAACAGGAUAAAAUAAAAAACAGAACUUUAAUCCUCCAAAGAUCCAUUUCAGCUGAAUUCUUAAACAUACAUCCCUUAAUGAUGAUUACUUAUAAAGACCUGCACAUUUUCUUUUUGUGGUUUUCCCCAAGCAUCUGUGUACAAACCCUAUUUCAACCAAUUCCCAACAGUUGAAUUAGUGGAACAAACGGCUGCUAAUGGGAAAAAGGACUCAUACUUUAAAGAUGACCUAUAGAAGAUAAUUGUGCUUGUGACUUUUUCUGUUGCUAAUUUAUGAUAUGUGUUUAACCAAAAAAGGCCGAGUGUAUGUCACCUACAGAGACUUGUGGGAGAGCUCUGAGAAGCUUGAAAGCUUCUGUGUUCCACCAACAAAAGUUGGUCCAAUGAAAAGUAUUAACUCACCUAUCUUGUUUCUGUCAACAACAAAAAAAAUCUAUCUAUCUAUCUAUCUUAAAUUAGGAAGGUCAAGUCCUGUUUUGCUGCAGGUCUCACUUGGAGGACCCAGAGAUGCAUAUUAGGAACGUGGCCUUUGGAUGAAGGGACGGAGAAGUGGAAUCAUUUUGGAGUUAGUUUAGAUAAGUAUAAACAAAAUAAAAGUUUAACAGUCUACAUAUAAAUCUAUUCUCUCAGCGAGGCUUCAUAUCCUUGGCAUCUAAUGUUACCUAAGUUCUCCAGUUAUCUACAGUCUUCCAGGAAAAACAGGAUAGACAAGACCAAAAUUUCCAGUGUACAUGAAUAGAAAUUAAAAAAAUUCUUGGUCCUUUAUAAUGCAUACAGAAGGCAAAAAGGCACAAAGCUAUUAGCAAGACUUACUACCACUACUUACUACCACUAUUAAGGGGCUAUGGCAAACCUUUAGGCCCUGACCCCUGCCUUUCACUAGCAUUUUGCACAGGUGCGGAGGUCUAUGCCAGCAGAUUCCUAUACAGGACUGGAGCCUUAGUUUACCUCAGGAAUAAAACCAUGCAGUCACCAUUAAGUGACUUUUGUUUAUGUAUCUAACCUAGACCAAUCUGAUUAUAUGUAUCUAAUGUAUAUUUGUUUAUGUAUCUUAACUAGACAUUAAAAAUGACUUAAUUUAAAUAGGCUGCAUGUUCUCCAGUUUGAUUUAAAUAUUACCUGCCUAUUACCAUCCUUUGAAAUACACCACAAGUUGAUAGAUUCUUGUCCCACUAUGUUUUCUGCUAAUCUCAUUUUUCUGUGCAUGGUUACAGCUUGCUUCUCUGCUAUUCUGAAAAGAGUGAACAAAAAGUCAAAUACCACCCCUUCAGAUGAAAUCUGGAGUCCAGUAGGAUAGUAAAGACAAACUGCCAUAUGAAUUUUACUUCUCAGUUGUUUUAAUGCAGUAAAUAAACUGCUGACAAGGAAGGAUCUGUGCCUAAUGUAACUUCCAGACUAGAGGCAUGAAAGAGUUCCAGAAAACCAUGGUAAUGGCUUUCUCCUCCCUAGAAUGUGGAACAGUCAAAUGAAAUUUCAAGUUGCACAAAUGCUUUAUAUCAGUGAGUAAGUAUACAACAGAAGUAACAUCUACUUUUCAUCUUCUGAUACGGAAUCCAUAUUCCCCUCUUCAUGAAUAAGAAGAAUUUGAUUAACAUUUUUACACUUGUCGUACAAAACCACCACCAUUGCAAUCAGCAUUUCAUUUGAACUAGGACAUAAGGUGAAGACAGCCAAAUUUCAGAAUACACCAGAAUAGUCUGACAAGUACAGCUGUGAAUCUGACUGCCUAUAAAUUGGCAGCGUUGGUAUUGCAUGAUUUUUCAUAGUGCAGGGAGGGAUUCUGCUACAGACGAGCUGUGAGUAUUAUGAAUGGUGACAUAAUAUAUCUAUUUUCCCCCAAUUGUAUUAUAGCAGAAGCAUUCCAUUCCAAACAUAUUGGUAGGCCUCAUUUCCUAUGUAAGCACUAAAGUAAUGAUGCAUAAGGUUCAAGAUUUAGAAGGGAUUUAAUCCUCUACAAGUGCACUGCCCAGAGUGUCUUAUUCCUGUUUUGGUAUGCAAAUUACAGAACAACCUGUUUACUUCAGUAGGUGUUACUGACAAAGGUAAGACUGCUGAUAAGCAAGACUACUCCAUUUUUGUUUAGGGUCCUGAAGACAUCUGAUAAUCACUUAGAUUGUUUCCUUUACAGGCCUUCUUAAGGCUUUGAGCUUUGCUGUAGUGCCUAUAAAUAAUAAUAUCAUUAGUACAAAGAGAAAAUUAGCAAAUUUCUUAGAAAACUUAGUGACUCUGGUUAAACAAGUUUUAAAUUACUUCAAAGUUAGACUAUAUUUAACAGUUCAUUAACUAAAACUAACUUUAGAUUAUAAUGCUAGUUAACUAUAUAGCCAAACAUGUUAUUGCAACCUUUGGAUUUUCUAUCUGUACUCAUUCUUUGCCAGGUAGAGCAGUUUGCCACGUAAAAAUAAAUGUUAUACCUAAAAGAGUAAGACAAUAAGAAUUCUUUUCUUUAAUGGCAUUUGUAUGGUCCCCAUUACUACAGUAUCUGAGCACUUACUCCCAUUUGACAGAUGAUGAAACUGAAGCUUAGAGGUGAAAUGCCUUUCCUAAGGUCUCAAAAGAAGUCUACAGCUGAGCCAGCUACAGAACCAAGAUUUCUGGAUUCUCGGUUCACUGUCUGAACCACAAGACGAUUCAUCCCCUUGUUAGCGUAAGAGUCUGCUGUAACACAGGUUUGUUUAAGACUAACCUGCAAUAUUUGUUUUUUCAGAAUUCUGCAGAGGAUUUUAAAAAAAAAUAAUCAGAUCGGGUCCUUUUUUGCUUCUUUGAUGUAUAUAAAGGCCUGAAAACUUUCCCUUAUUUGUUUUCUGCCUUUUUUUUUUCUUUACCAUUAAGUAUCAGGAAUGUCAAAUCUGGUCUUCCCUGAUUUUGCUAGAGGACCUAUUGUAUCUCUGACCAUGUAUAUUGUGAGCACUCACACCUUAUUUGAAAGGGCUGGGGUGUCAAAUCUUUGACAUGUUUAAAAUUCCAAAAUGUUAAUUACUGAAGGUAAUAUGUAUUAAUAAAAAAAAUUGUAAACAGUAUGACUAACUAAAGAUUCCUUCCCCAAUAAACUGCUUGCUUUCAUUCUCUUGA
RNA transcript from Chelonia mydas (Green sea turtle), 16547 nucleotides. It is a transcript of the gene named WD repeat domain 20, with no coding region annotated. Lineage: Eukaryota; Metazoa; Chordata; Testudines; Cheloniidae. The transcript is spliced from 6 exons. The record is from RefSeq and is a predicted model, not a curated record.